Molecule: ribosomal RNA, 653 nt
Filed under: Pseudobutyrivibrio sp. G69
Lineage: Bacteria; Bacillati; Bacillota; Clostridia; Lachnospirales; Lachnospiraceae
Description: bacterial SSU rRNA
Rfam family: Bacterial small subunit ribosomal RNA
Source: RNAcentral
GGAGAUUUGUUGACUGAGUGGCGGACGGGUGAGUAACGCGUGGGUUACCUUCCUUGUACAGGGGGACCACAGUUGGAAACGGCUUCUAAUUCCGCAUAAGCGCACAACUUCGCCUGAAACCGUGUGAAAAGUUUUUUCGGUACAAGAUGGACCCGCGUCUGAUUAGCUAGUUGGUGAGGUAACGGCCCACCAAGGCGACGAUCAGUAGCCGACCUGAGAGGGUGACCGGCCACAUUGGGACUGAGACACGGCCCAAACUCCUACGGGAGGCAGCAGUGGGGAAUAUUGCACAAUGGGCGAAAGCCUGAUGCAGCGACGCCGCGUGAGCGAAGAAGUAUUUCGGUAUGUAAAGCUCUAUCAGCAGGGAAGAUAAUGACGGUACCUGACUAAGAAGCACCGGCUAAAUACGUGCCAGCAGCCGCGGUAAUACGUAUGGUGCAAGCGUUAUCCGGAUUUACUGGGUGUAAAGGGAGCGUAGGCGGUUUUACAAGUCUGAUGUGAAAGCCCGGGGCUCAACUCCGGUAUUGCAUUGGAAACUGUAGAACUAGAGUGUCGGAGGGGUAAGUGGAAUUCCUAGUGUAGCGGUGAAAUGCGUAGAUAUUAGGAGGAACACCAGUGGCGAAGGCGGCUUACUGGACGAUACUGACGCUGAG